AACGAACGCUGGCGGCGUGCCUAACACAUGCAAGUCGUGCGAGAAAGUUCCUUCGGGAGCGAGUAAAGCGGCGCACGGGUGAGUAACACGUAGGUAACCUGCCCCCCAGUCUGGAACAACUAGAGGAAACUCUAGCUAAUGCCGGAUGAGACCACGAUCCCUUCGGGGGUUGCGGCCAAAGAUGGCCUCUACUUGUAAGCUAUCGCUGAGGGAUGGGCCUGCGGGCCAUUAGCUUGUUGGUGAGGUAACGGCUCACCAAGGCUGUGAUGGCUAGUUGGUCUGAGAGGAUGACCAGCCACACUGGGACUGAGACACGGCCCAGACUCCUACGGGAGGCAGCAGUGGGAAUAUUGCUCAAUGGGCGAAGCCUGACGCAGCGACGCCGCGU
RNAcentral lists this ribosomal RNA (388 nucleotides) under uncultured bacterium. Its description in RNAcentral is "bacterial SSU rRNA". It matches the Rfam family "Bacterial small subunit ribosomal RNA", at positions 29 to 402 of the family's 1533-position model. The record is from RNAcentral.